This 497-nucleotide ribosomal RNA is filed under the name uncultured bacterium. RNAcentral's name for it is "partial 16S ribosomal RNA". It matches the Rfam family "Bacterial small subunit ribosomal RNA", at positions 28 to 507 of the family's 1533-position model. The record is from RNAcentral.
GAUGAACGCUGGCGGCGUGCCUAAUACAUGCAAGUCGAGCGAACAGACGAGGAGCUUGCUCCUCUGACGUUAGCGGCGGACGGGUGAGUAACACGUGGAUAACCUACCUAUAAGACUGGGAUAACUUCGGGAAACCGGAGCUAAUACCGGAUAAUAUAUUGAACCGCAUGGUUCAAUAGUGAAAGACGGUUUUGCUGUCACUUAUAGAUGGAUCCGCGCCGCAUUAGCUAGUUGGUAAGGUAACGGCUUACCAAGGCAACGAUGCGUAGCCGACCUGAGAGGGUGAUCGGCCACACUGGAACGGGGACACGGUCCAGACUCCUGCGGGAGGCAGCAGUAGGGAAUCUUCCGCAAUGGGCGAAAGCCUGACGGAGCAACGCCGCGUGAGUGAUGAAGGUCUUCGGAUCGUAAAACUCUGUUAUUAGGGAAGAACAAAUGUGUAAGUAACUAUGCACGUCUUGACGGUACCUAAUCAGAAAGCCACGGCUAACUACGUG